Lagenorhynchus albirostris (white-beaked dolphin) is the source of this 590-nucleotide long non-coding RNA. RefSeq lists it as uncharacterized. Lineage: Eukaryota; Metazoa; Chordata; Mammalia; Artiodactyla; Delphinidae. The transcript has 3 exons. The record is from RefSeq and is a predicted model, not a curated record.
CUUAGAGACAACAUAAUGUGGCUCAGACCUGUAAGCCGCUGUCUCUGUCUUCGCUUCUGAAUCCACAAGAGGAGUACGGCGAGAGAGGCGAACAGAAUGGCCCCAAGGAUCCCAAAUGCAACAACGGACGAGCGACCUGGGCACAGGAGAAAAGAGGGGAGACUCAGUUCUGGGAGUAAUAUGUGGAACCACUAUGUCUGUUUCCUGUCUGAGGCUUUAGCCUCUCAACCAAGAAAAUUACUCCUUCCCACCCAAAACUAGAGGUGCCUAGUUUUUCGUCUCUCUGCACACGGAUACAUCAGCAACUAACACACCACUGUAAAGCAACUAUACUCCAAUAAAGGAGAGAACUUCAAGAUGGCGGAGGAGUAAGACAUGGAGAUCACCUUCUUCCCCACAGAUACAUCAGAAAUAUAUCUACAUGUGGAACAACUCCUACAGAACACCUAUCGAAUGCAGGCAGAAGACCUCAGACUUCCCAAAAGGCAAGAAACUCCCCAUGUACCUGGGUAGGGCAAAAGAAAAAAGAAUAAACAGAGACAAAAGAAUAGGGACGGGACCUGCACCUCUGGGAGGGAGCUGUGAAGGAG